This 374-nucleotide unclassified non-coding RNA is filed under the name soil metagenome. Its description in RNAcentral is "partial contains internal transcribed spacer 2 and large subunit ribosomal RNA". The stretch from base 1 to 120 matches the Rfam family "5.8S ribosomal RNA", at positions 35 to 154 of the family's 154-position model. The record is from RNAcentral.
GAUGAAGAACGUAGCGAAAUGCGAUAAUUAAUGUGAAUUGCAGAAUUCCGUGAAUCAUCGAGUCUUUGAACGCACAUUGCGCCUCAUGGCAUUCCGUGAGGCAUGCCCAUCUCAGCGUUAGAAAAUAUUCUCAAAUUUUAGUUUUGUGCUAAAAUUUGGAUCAUGUCAAGGAAGCUAUUACUAUUAUUGUGAUCGCUCUUUGAAAAUUGAUAGGUCUUUGAGUUGCUACUCAUAGAACGUGAUGAAUCUUUCUUCGUUCUAUUGUAAUUCACUCUGGUAGUCCUAAAACUUGUAUGCCUGUGGCAUAUCUUGUAAUUUGACCUGAGAUUGGGUAGGGAUACCCGCUGAACUUAAGCAUAUCAAUAAGCGGAGGA